Molecule: unclassified non-coding RNA, 240 nt
Filed under: soil metagenome
Description: partial contains 5.8S ribosomal RNA, internal transcribed spacer 2, and large subunit ribosomal RNA
Source: RNAcentral
AACCUUAUGGACCUGCGGGCGUAUACCUGCGGAGGGAUCAUUACAUGGCGGAGGAGGUGGGCAUCGGGCGACCCCGUCCGGUGCGAUGCCUCCACGCUCUCCUACCCUUGUCUAUUGGCACCCUUUGUCGUUCCCUCGGCGGGUCCUGAAUCCGCCGACGGGCCACUUUACAACACCUUUUUGCAGUUAGCAUCCAAUUCUUCUGAUCAAAACGUUUAAAUCGUUACAACUUUCAACAAU